AUGCUCCGUCGACGGGGGUCGAUUAGAUUUAACGUUACGCUUUUUUCCGUUAGGAUUAUCUGUAUUUGCGAACAUGGAAGGUUAAAUAAUGAAAGGUACCGAUUCAUUUACUAUCUUCGCAGAUUAUCGGAACGGACAUUUGUAAGAGAUUGAACAGUAAAACGGUUAUAUUGUUUGGAAAUAAUAUUGUUACGAAAUAAUUCCACCUUCGCAAAUUUACAGUUAUACGUGUUAAGUUAGAUUACAUCUGUUCUUGGUAACGGAGCAGGAUAAUAAAUGUGCUCGUUGCACUUUUUUUUCCCGUAUCAAUAACAAGAUUAUCGCAAUAUUUUCUAAUAAUUGUUGACAACGAGGCUCCAUCCGCCGAUCGAGAAUUGAUCCUAUUCUGAUGUAACAUCGCGAACGUUUCUCAGCAACAAAUGGGAAAAGAAUAAUUGAUCUAUCGCGUAAUCUAUACGUUCGUGUGUACGCAAUAACGUUAUCGAUCGAAAGUAAACGUAAAGUCUAGUGACGGUGCUAGUAGGUAAGAGUAGAUCGAACGGAAUACCGUACGUCUUUACGCGUCACCUACUUCGAUACGAAUCGGGUAUGAUUUGUUUAAAAAAAUUACCCAUUGUCGUAACCAUGGUAUCGCGCUGUACCAUACAUCCCUGAGUCCUACGGGGUUUAAUAUCGUGAAGGGUAGUCGAGAGGAAGGAAGAUAGGGGCGACCCUAAAGCGAGGGAGUGCUGAUGCUAAAGCUGCGAGCACGAAGGGACCUUCAAAUAAAAAAAGGUAGGACCUACCGAGCGAGCGAGCGAACCAGCGAGAGAAAACGGGAGAGAAAAUCCGGUCCCCCUUCUUUCGAGACCAGGGAAAGGCCGCACCCACUCGGUUCUUGAAGAUCAUACUGGGUCCCCGCUGGCACAGCCCUGAGCAUGUAAGUAAACACGCCAAAGUUCUGGUGCCUCGACAUGCAGCCAACAUUUUCCACGAGGUUGGAUAUCCGUGAACGAGUGGUCACUCGCGUAGACGGAACCUCGAAGACCCUCGGUUGCGAAGAACGAAAGAAGAACGCAAAUUAGGUAUAAACCUUUUGAAAUUCAACCAGAGAAAUUCGAAUACUUUCUAACACGGGAAGAGCAUCGAAGGGACGAACAAGAGCCGUGCAAGUCUGACCAUUGUUACUCCGAUCACACGAUGCUUGCACAACGUCCACGAAGUUGCGUUAUGAGGCAGCAAUAGCUUCUCCUCGUGUUUAAAGCGAAUUCGUGUCGUCUGCGUCAUAACGUUAUAUUAUAACGUUAUUUGAAUGUAAGAUAAUCAGAAUGCAUACGCUUGGCCAGCAAGUUGGUCACUCUUAGGUUAAGCCAAAGUCAACACGUGGCAACACCGCGCUACAGCUGUCAUACGCGUCAUGCAUCGAGCCAAAGCUCAACUUAUUCAAUGUACGACAGACAUACGUAUUUUAUAAGAGUUGCUACAUUCUUUUUCUGUCGAAACAACGCCGUUCGAACUUCGACGACUGUUCGAUCGUGGAGAAAAAUUAUUCCUCCGUCAAGGAACAGUGUCGUACGAUUUGGGAUACCCCGGUGUUCCCUCGUAACAUUCUCAUGCCAUCCGCUUCCCUCUCCCAAAAUCCCAGACGGGAAAGUGAGUUUCGGAACAUGAUUGUUAAUUUUACGUAACGUACAGCUUGCUUGCUAGGAACAAGUUUCCCCUCCUGCUUUUACCCAGAUCUCUAUCCAAUACCGGACUCGAAUUUUCUGGGCUUCAAUUUCCCAGAGACGCUUUGAAGGUGCAAGUAUUACUACCGAAAUCUAUUCAUUUGGAUAUAAUCUCGAUUUCGAACCAGAAUGAUUUAAAGUGCAACGAUAAAAUUCUGUCUAUAGGCCACUUGAUAUUUAUCGAUAUAUGGAAUUGUUGAUAACAUAACUCUCAAUAACAACGGCUCUAAAACGAAAGAAAGGCCGAAAAAGAAGUUGUUAAUUGUUGUUUAGGCGCGACCCAAUAUGGGUGCAGCUAUAUUAACUUUACGACAGGAGAAAGAGGGAACCGGGAGGAAAACAAAGAGAGAACGACAACGAGAGAGAGGAUGAAGGGAUAGGGUUAGUCUGUAUCAACCGUGCACCCUUAUCAAUUGGAAAAUUGGUGCGUGCAGUGGGAGCGGAAGAGGAGGAGACUCGACUAUGUUCAGCGUUGGAGGGGAGAGAGGAACGAUUAGGUUUACGCGCCUGCCAGGGACGUACGUACCGAAGGGGCCUCGUAGCUACGGUACGAUAUCGGGUUCAGUUUGUUUUAACGAUCUGCAUUGUCUAUGCACCCUCACGAAUUAGGAAUUUCAAACCGGCUACCCGAUGAGCUGGUGGCAAGAAGGGUGCUCGUACAAAAGCCAGGGGCGUAUCCAAGGAAUAGAAGGGGGCCUUUGUGUGUACGUUGAGAGAAUCAAAAGAACCAGCAAGUGAAUCAGCGAAAGAGAACGAGGGGAAUGGUGACGGACGGAAAAGAGGGAGGAAGAAGAGUGACGAGGCGCUUAGGGCGCAUGCGUCACUCGUCGUGGGCGUCGGGAAUGUGUUGACACGAGAAGCCGAGAGAACGCUGUGCCUCACUAAUGCCACGACGCCCGUGUUAUCGUCGAUACGGUUCCCGUACUGCGGGCUCGCCUUGUCCUCAGAAAAUCUGGGUCUUCGACUUCCAUCCUAACGACGAAAUCGGGGCUCUGUUGUUGACGAGGCUCCAAUCGACUCUAUCGCUACCAAUGAUUCAGAAAUUGCUGCGUACAUGAUAAACCUGAUAAAUGUAAAUAACUCCAGUAUUUUUUCAAAUAUUUUACUUUGUCGACUACUGUAGACUUCAGAACUCCAGAACUUCAGAAAGCGAACAAUGUUUUCAGAAAUGCUUUUACCCAUAAAAUUUUAGAAAGUCCAUAAUUAUACGUACAUUUCGUGGACCUGUAUUCACCGAAACAUUAAUUAUUUUGUGAAGACUCCGUCAACUUAAAUUGGCUAUAGAGUUCAUCAUUUCUAAUAUAACUUUUCUCGAUGUUCGUCGUUGUUAAGGACCUAUUUUUCAUGAAACUUUUAUCCGAUGUUUAGAGACUCGUAUAACAAUUUUCAAAGUUGGCACGAGGCUAUAGGGAAUGGUGUUUCGUAGAAAUAUAUGUUGCUCUCCACGCAGUAAAUUUCUAUGAGGUUAUGUUCGGUCGAAGCUGCUACCAGAGACAACCAUAUAACUACACUGUCAUUAUUUUCAUGAUGCUUUAGAUACAAUAAAUAAAGGCGUAGUAUCAAGGCUGUAGCUACAGUAAGUGAGGCCCAGAGCAAAAGUCAAAAUGCAAAUUUUUAUAAUCUCUCAUCUGCGACGGAAAUUAAAGUUUUGAAAAGAAGACAAUAAUGUGGUAGCACGUAAAAAAUUUCAGUCACCAUUAUACUGCAACGUAUGAACUUUUAUGGACGAGAGUCUUGCACAACCACUGGUGAAAAAUUCUAUGCAUUUAUGAGUGCAGACUUUAUAGAGAGCAGUAAGAAGAACACGAUUGUUGCUUACAACUUCUGCUUAUUUGAAUAACUAAACGGCAUGCUCGAAUCUUCGCAAUUCACAAACACAUUAUUUACAUGACACUAAAACCUGACAGGUCUUGAAAGAUGUAUUAGUGUCCCAAUUAACUAGACCAAUUAUUUUAAGUAUUGGUAAAGAAUAUUUCAGUAUUUAUAUUUAAGAAAGGAAGCUGGGUUAUGGGGUUAGAAGUUACAAGGUCACCCUCAUUUCUUUAAACUACAUAUUUUUUUCAAAUCUAUAGUUUCAUCCUGUGUACAAAUAUAGUAGGAUUAUUUAGGAAAUAAAGCUUGAGUUGCAUCUGUA
Long non-coding RNA from Megachile rotundata (alfalfa leafcutting bee), 3840 nucleotides. The record is from RefSeq and is a predicted model, not a curated record. NCBI's taxonomy places the organism in Eukaryota, Metazoa, Arthropoda, Insecta, Hymenoptera, Megachilidae.